This 618-nucleotide ribosomal RNA is filed under the name Cortinarius acutus. RNAcentral's name for it is "eukaryotic LSU rRNA". It matches the Rfam family "Eukaryotic large subunit ribosomal RNA", at positions 1 to 622 of the family's 3401-position model. Lineage: Eukaryota; Fungi; Basidiomycota; Agaricomycetes; Agaricales; Cortinariaceae. The record is from RNAcentral.
UGUGACCUCAAAUCAGGUAGGACUACCCGCUGAACUUAAGCAUAUCAAUAAGCGGAGGAAAAGAAACUAACAAGGAUUCCCCUAGUAACUGCGAGUGAAGCGGGAAAAGCUCAAAUUUAAAAUCUGGCAGUCUUUUGGCUGUCCGAGUUGUAAUCUAGAGAAGUGUUAUCCGCGCUGGACCGUGUACAAGUCUCCUGGAAUGGAGCAUCAUAGAGGGUGAGAAUCCCGUCUUUGACAUGGACUACCAGGGCUUUGUGAUGCGCUCUCAAAGAGUCGAGUUGUUUGGGAAUGCAGCUCAAAAUGGGUGGUAAAUUCCAUCUAAAGCUAAAUAUUGGCGAGAGACCGAUAGCGAACAAGUACCGUGAGGGAAAGAUGAAAAGAACUUUGGAAAGAGAGUUAAACAGUACGUGAAAUUGCUGAAAGGGAAACGCUUGAAGUCAGUCGCGUCAUCCAGGGAUCAACCUCGCUUUUGCUUGGUGCACUUUCUGGUUUGAUGGGUCAGCAUCAAUUUUGACCAUUGGAAAAAGAUCAAGGGAAUGUGGCAUCUUUGGAUGUGUUAUAGCCCUUGGUCACAUACAAUGGUUGGGAUUGAGGAACUCAGCACGCCGAAAGGCCGGG